This 650-nucleotide ribosomal RNA is filed under the name uncultured Actinomycetes bacterium. RNAcentral describes it as "bacterial SSU rRNA". It matches the Rfam family "Bacterial small subunit ribosomal RNA", at positions 726 to 1368 of the family's 1533-position model. Lineage: Bacteria; Bacillati; Actinomycetota; Actinomycetes. The record is from RNAcentral.
UCUCUGGGCCGAUACUGACGCUGAGGAGCGAAAGCGUGGGGAGCGAACAGGAUUAGAUACCCUGGUAGUCCACGCCGUAAACGGUGGGCACUAGGUGUGGGCAACAUUCCACGUUGUCCGUGCCGCAGCUAACGCAUUAAGUGCUCCGCCUGGGGGGUACGGCCGCAAGGCUAAAACUCAAAGGAAUUGACGGGGGCCCGCACAAGCGGCGGAGCAUGUGGCCUAAUUCGACGCAACGCGAAGAAUCUUACCAAGGCUUGACAUACACCGGAAAGCAUCAGAGAUGGUGCCCCCCUUGUGGUCGGUGUACAGGUGGUGCAUGGCUGUCGUCAGCUCGUGUCGUGGGAUGUUGGGUUAAGUCCCGCAACGAGCGCAACCCUUGUCCCGUGUUGCCAGCAGGCCCUUGUGGCGCUGGGGACUCACGGGAGACCGCCGGGGUCAACUCGGAGGAAGGUGGGGACGACGUCAAGUCAUCAUGCCCCUUAUGUCUUGGGCUGCACACGUGCUACAAUGGCCAGUACAAUGAGCUGCGAUACCGUGAGGUGGAGCGAAUCUCAAAAAGCCGGUCUCAGUUCGGAUUGGGGUCUGCAACUCGACCCCAUGAAGUCGGAGUCGCUAGUAAUCGCAGAUCAGCAUUGCUGCGGUGAAUA